This is a long non-coding RNA of Cyprinus carpio carpio, 749 nucleotides long. Lineage: Eukaryota; Metazoa; Chordata; Actinopteri; Cypriniformes; Cyprinidae. The record is from Ensembl.
UACAGAUGCUCACCUCUGCCAAAUCCCAUGUGACUACAACACAAGAAAAACUCAAAAGAAGAUACUGGUAAUCAAACCCAAAAAGUUGGCCAGGUGCAGAAAUGAAAGCUUCUUCACCGGAUUAAGAAGUGGAAAGACAUGAUACACCAUCGUAACCAUAAAUCCUGAGCAAUUUUAAAAUUCGCAACAACCAUGGAAAAGUACUCAUUGUUUCACUCAGAAAUGAUCCAUGGUAAUAGUUGUAAAUGAUUAGAUAAAUAAAUUAAAGUACAAAAUGUGUUUAAUUUUAAAACUUUGCCAUUUACUAAUGUGUUGUUCAAAACACUGAAUUUUGGCAUCUCUUUACAAUAAGGUAUCAUUAGUUAACAUUAAUAAAUUUUGAAAUUAACAUUAACAGUGAGCAAUACAUUUGUUACAAUAUGCAUUAAUCUUUAAAACUUUUAAAAAACAACUGUUCUUCGUUAGUUCAUGUUAGCUCUGAUCUAUUAAAUAAUGUCAACAGGCACAACUUUCGAUCUUCGAUCUCUAUCUACAGUUAACGAAGUUUAAUGUUAAAUAUUUGCCAUGUUAGUCCAUGUUGGGUAACUAAUGUUAACAAAUGAAACCUUAUUGUAAAUUGUAAAGUGUCACCUGAGCAUUUAUUGUUUAUACGUGUUAAAUUUUAGUUUCCAAGUAUAAAUAAAUACAAAGCUAAUUUCGCUCAUUGUUAUGUUUUAUUUAUAUAUACUUUCUGUAUAACUUUUUUUUUU